This 501-nucleotide ribosomal RNA is filed under the name uncultured bacterium. RNAcentral's name for it is "partial 16S ribosomal RNA". It matches the Rfam family "Bacterial small subunit ribosomal RNA", at positions 30 to 523 of the family's 1533-position model. The record is from RNAcentral.
AUUGAACGCUGGCGGCAGGCUUAACACAUGCAAGUCGAGCGGGGGGAGGUAGCUUGCUACCGGACCUAGCGGCGGACGGGUGAGUAAUGCUUAGGAAUCUGCCUAUUAGUGGGGGACAACAUCUCGAAAGGGAUGCUAAUACCGCAUACGUCCUACGGGAGAAAGCAGGGGAUCUUCGGACCUUGCGCUAAUAGAUGAGCCUAAGUCGGAUUAGCUAGUUGGUGGGGUAAAGGCCUACCAAGGCGACGAUCUGUAGCGGGUCUGAGAGGAUGAUCCGUCACACUGGGACUGAGACACGGCCCAGACUGCUACGGGAGGCAGCAGUGGGGAAUAUUGGGCAAUGGGGGGAACCCUGAUCCAGCCAUGCCGCGUGUGUGAAGAAGGCCUUAUGGUUGUAAAGCACUUUAAGCGAGGAGGAGGCUACUUUAGUUAAUACCUAGAGAUAGUGGACGUUACUCGCAGAAUAAGCACCGGCUAACUCUGUGCCAGCCGCCGCAGUAA